Molecule: ribosomal RNA, 500 nt
Filed under: uncultured bacterium
Lineage: Bacteria
Description: partial 16S ribosomal RNA
Rfam family: Bacterial small subunit ribosomal RNA
Source: RNAcentral
AUUGAACGCUGGCGGCAUGCCUUACACAUGCAAGUCGAACGGCAGCGCGGACUUCGGUCUGGCGGCGAGUGGCGAAGGGGUGAGUAAUACAUCGGAACGUACCCUGUUGUGGGGGAUAACUAGUCGAAAGAUUAGCUAAUACCGCAUACGACCUGAGGGUGAAAGUGGGGGACCGCAAGGCCUCACGCAGCAGGAGCGGCCGAUGUCUGAUUAGCUAGUUGGUGGGGUAAAGGCCCACCAAGGCGACGAUCAGUAGCUGGUCUGAGAGGACGAUCAGCCACACUGGGACUGAGACACGGCCCAGACUCCUACGGGAGGCAGCAGUGGGGAAUUUUGGACAAUGGGGGCAACCCUGAUCCAGCAAUGCCGCGUGUGUGAAGAAGGCCUUCGGGUUGUAAAGCACUUUUGUCCGGAAAGAAAUCGCGCUGGUUAAUACCUGGCGUGGAUGACGGUACCGGAAGAAUAAGCACCGGCUAACAACGUGCCAGCCGCCGCCGUAA